Molecule: non-coding RNA, 144 nt
Organism: Pelobates cultripes (western spadefoot toad)
Lineage: Eukaryota; Metazoa; Chordata; Amphibia; Anura; Pelobatidae
Source: the annotation of a GenBank genome assembly
AACACAAGAUCCAGCGCACUCACCUAUCCACUAAACAGCAACUGCAAUGUUGAAAGAUUUUUUUUUUUUUUAAACGCCUAAUAAAAUCUUUCAACAUUGAAGUUGCUGUUUAGUGGAUGGGUGAGUGCGCUGGAUCUUGUGUUU